Molecule: long non-coding RNA, 291 nt
Organism: Panicum virgatum (switchgrass)
Lineage: Eukaryota; Viridiplantae; Streptophyta; Magnoliopsida; Poales; Poaceae
Exons: 2
Source: RefSeq, a predicted model, not a curated record
UGAACGUACGCACGCCGCGCCCACCGCCCUGCCCAAACCCCAACUCGGGCAUCGACUUCGGGACGAGGACGCGCGACGGCGGCAGGCUCGUGCUCACGUAUACAAACCCGUCACCUACACCUACAACCGGACGCAGAUCAAGCAUGUGGUUAUAGUCAGAUCGGGAGAUAGCUCGCAUAUAUAUGGCAUGAUGUUGAGGAUAACUGGAGCGGGUUCCGCUCAGUAUAUGUGUAGGGGAUGUAAGCGCAACCAAUACUAUUGUGUGAAUACAUAAGAGAUGCAGGUAAGUAA